CAUGAUGUCCGGGAUUUAAAAAAAACAGAGAAGAUGAUUAUCAAAUAAAUUUUUGGUUUUUGAUGAUGUUUUUACAAGACAAGAAAAGAAGCUAUCAUCUUCAAACAGAUUAGAAAUAGUGAUCAUACCGGAUGAAGUUCUUUAUGGAAAAUUAGCGUGUUUUGGAUAUGUCGAGCAUAGACAUGUUGUGCAUGUAAAAAGUUCUGAAUGAAGUUCAGAUGAAGAGGAGGUGCUUGGCUGGUCAACAUAAACUUUCUUCCUACCCCUAAAGUCUUUGCCUAAGAGACCAUUUACAAGACAAUAGCUGGAUGAAAAUUUUGUUUAAAAGUAGGUACGUAGAAAUUUGCGUUUUACGGUGCCGAGUUUUAUACCAAAACACUGUUCUCCGUUUUUUGACUUUUGCGUUUAGGCAGUAUGGUAGGAUGGUAUUUUGUAGCCGUAUUUUUUAAAAUUUUGUAUUAACAUAGAUAUUUUUUAAAAUCUAAAUUGAUUAAAAUUUAUUUCUAUUGGUCUUUUUAUUAUAAUGACAAACUUUAUAAGUGAGUUUACUUACAUACAAAACUUGGUAAUACGUUUAGUAAACCUUGAAAAAGUAAUCAGUAAAUUUUCUAACCUACUCUCAUUUGUAAGUUUACACACUUUUUAUGCACCUGCCUAAUUUCAUUGCUUUAUUUUUAGAAGCACAUACCCUAUUUUUACGAGCACUUUUGGUACCUAAUUUUUUUUUAAACAGUUUAACGGCGGGCGGAUGAUGGGGAUUUCGGUAACAACAUUUCGUCAGCCGAGAACCAAGAGGCCGUAUAUCCAGUUUUGACUUUUUUCCUGUUUUUUACUAAAAAAUGUUUUCUAUGAUGAAAUCUAUGUUUUGAGUAAUUCUAGUCACAAAAAUCAUCAAACUUAGGGUUAAAUUAAAAGAACCAGAAGGCCGUAUGUCCAAAAAGGUGACGACUGUUAUUAUCAACUGGCUGUAUGUCCUUUGACCAAUCAGAUUAGCCAAGACUUUUUUUACGCUGUUAAACAACCGCUAAAACUUUAUUUGUUAUCAAUAAAAUGGCGUACCAUGAAACUACUGAUGAAGUAUCUCUAAGAAACAUAAAGAAACGAGAUUACAGCAUAAUCUUCAAUUCAACUACUCUGAAUCUAUCUCUGUUAUUCAAUCACAACAUAUUGAUAAAAAUGAUGAUUUCCUUAAUCAAACUGAUUCGAACAGAGAUGCCAGGGAAAGUAGCAGAAAACACGGGAGAACUGGAAAAAAUUGAACACGCAAACGAAAAAGAGACCCUACCUCCUGGAAAAAAGAAAUAAGAAAAAAACUUAAACAGAGUGGUCAGCAAUACAUAGCCUCAAAUGGCAAAAUACAACUGGGGAAGUUUAUAAAAGACUGUAAGAGAGAUCACACUUAAUGUCGUUUUAAAUGUAAAUUAAAAAUUAGCGUUGCUGAUCAAGAAACUUUGCACAAACAGCAUUUUUUUUCAAUGAUCAAGAAAAGCGUCUUUUUUACCUCCAAACUACAAAUGUAGAGAACAAAAAAAGGUUUCGUCUAGCUGAAAAUUCAGAAUUGAAAAAACAUAGUUAUUCAUAUUACUUUAUUGUUUCUGAUGAACUUAUACGUGUUUGUAAAGAAUUUUAUCUGUGUACUCUAAAUAUUGAUGAAAAAAGAAUUAGAAAUUACUAUAGAAACAACAGAAGCACCUCAACAGUAUAAAAGAGGUAAAGUACCUAGUCGAACUGUUCCAAAUUACAUUAAAGAUUCUGUACAUAAGCAUAUUCAAAGCAUUCCAAGAAACGACAGUUACUUUUGUCGUAAAAGUACAAACAAAGAGUACAUUCAAGAAAAUCUGAAUAUGACCGUUUUGUAUGAGAAAUAUUGUGAAAACUCUGUUUCUGACUCUGUUAUUCCUGCAAAAAAAGUAUGAAUAGAUCAAUAUUUAACACAGAGUUGAAGUUCAUAAACUAAAAAAAGACAGAUGUGACAAAUGUGAAAGUUAUGAAAAUGAAUCCUUCACCAAACUCAAAUGAAAAAUAUAAUAUGAAAUUCACACUAAAAACAAAGCUGAAACUAAUGAAGAAUGUAAUCGUGAUAGGCUUGAUAAAAGCAAGUGUGUUAUUUGCUUCGAUAUGAAAAAUGUUUUCAGCCUACCAACAGCAAAUGUUUUCAACUUUUUUUACAAACAAAAGUUGACAGUUUUUCAUUUGACUGCACAAUGUUCUAUAUCAAAAAAAAAAGUUAUAGUGCAGUCUGGUCAGAACUUACUAGUGGCCGAACAGGAAAUAAUAAAGCUAGUGCUCUUCUUGUUAUACUUGAUCAAAUAGUUGCAGAUGUCACAAUCUCAAAUAACUGAAGCUUGUUUAUGGAGUGACUCUUGUGUAACGCAGAAUAGAAAUGUUUUAUGACGAUUGCUUUAAAAAUUUUUAUGCAAAACCAUCCACAAAUUAAAACAAUCAUUCAGAAAUUUUGUGAGCCAGGACAUAGUGUUAUCCAGGAGAUAGACAGUUUACAUAGUAUUAUUGAAAGAAAUAUGGAAGUAGCUGAAGUUUACAGUCUAAUUGGCCUUGUCAGAAUUCUAAAGUACAUACCUCGAAAGAAUCCAAUCUAGUUGAUUCAAACUAAAGAAGAGCAGAUGAUGGACUUUCAAACCGUUGCUAAGAAUUAUUCAUUGCUGAAAAAUGUUCCAUAUGUUAAAGUAAAGAUACUUAAAUACUCAGCUGAUAAGCCAUGGAGUGUUGAAUGCAAAACUGAGUUUAGUUCUGAAUGGAAGUUGGAAAAUAUUUUCAACUAUAACACUUGACAACGAAAUUCAAAUAAUAAAAAAAUGGCAAAUGAUAUAAAGUUUGUGCAACCGAAAGUGCUUAAAAAAAAAAAAAGAAAUCUCAAUAAAAAAGUAAAAGAUCUAAAAUCAAUGUUAAAAUUCAUGCCACUUCAAGACAAAGAAUAUAUAUGUCAUCGGUCCUACAAACAUCAACCUAGUGUUAAAUGUUAACUAUUAUCAAUUUUUGUUCGCAGCAACUUUAAGCUCUAUUGGCAACCUGGUUCUGCAUCAAUUUUUUUUUGAACUCUUUUUAUGAAAAUUAUUUUAUGAAUUUUAA
Hydra vulgaris (swiftwater hydra) is the source of this 3087-nucleotide long non-coding RNA. RefSeq lists it as uncharacterized. NCBI's taxonomy places the organism in Eukaryota, Metazoa, Cnidaria, Hydrozoa, Anthoathecata, Hydridae. The record is from RefSeq and is a predicted model, not a curated record.